UUCAAAUGAAAAUUAUACUAGAUUUAUAACCUCAAUUCUGUUCUGGAAAAACAAUUCCUCAACAAGAAAAAAAAGCUCAAUUUACCAACCAUUCAACCAAACCCUCAGAGAUAAUGACAGAGCAAGAAUUCUUCGAGAGGUAAGUGAAAUACUUGGAGUUUCCUAACGGCAACGUCCGCGGAAGCGCCGGUGACGCUAAU
This 200-nucleotide long non-coding RNA is filed under the name Vitis vinifera (wine grape). RNAcentral's name for it is "long non-coding RNA (VVIN_LNC002225)". Lineage: Eukaryota; Viridiplantae; Streptophyta; Magnoliopsida; Vitales; Vitaceae. The record is from RNAcentral.